CCCUUACGACCAGGGCUACACACGUGCUACAAUGGCAUAUACAAAGAGAAGCGACCUCGCGAGAGCAAGCGGACCUCAUAAAGUAUGUCGUAGUCCGGAUUGGAGUCUGCAACUCGACUCCAUGAAGUCGGAAUCGCUAGUAAUCGUAGAUCAGAAUGCUACGGUGAAUACGUUCCCGGGCCUUGUACACACCGCCCGUCACACCAUGGGAGUGGGUUGCAAAAGAAGUAGGUAGCUUAACCUUCGGGAGGGCGCUUACCACUUUGUGAUUCAUGACUGGGGUGAAGUCGUAACAAGGUAACCGUAGGGGAACCUGCGGUUGGAUCACCUCCUUACCUUAAAGAA
RNAcentral lists this ribosomal RNA (345 nucleotides) under Klebsiella pneumoniae. RNAcentral's name for it is "bacterial SSU rRNA". It matches the Rfam family "Bacterial small subunit ribosomal RNA", at positions 1199 to 1533 of the family's 1533-position model. The record is from RNAcentral. Lineage: Bacteria; Pseudomonadati; Pseudomonadota; Gammaproteobacteria; Enterobacterales; Enterobacteriaceae.